Molecule: ribosomal RNA, 230 nt
Filed under: Pseudoalteromonas sp. SR41-7
Lineage: Bacteria; Pseudomonadati; Pseudomonadota; Gammaproteobacteria; Alteromonadales; Pseudoalteromonadaceae
Also listed under: 1 other name
Description: partial 23S ribosomal RNA
Rfam family: Bacterial large subunit ribosomal RNA
Source: RNAcentral
GUUGUAUGGUUAAGUGACUAAGCGUACACGGUGGAUGCCUUGGCAGUUGGAGGCGAUGAAGGACGUAUUAACUUGCGAUAAGCCUAGUCAAGCUAGUAAAAAGCGCUUGAGACUAGGAUUUCCGAAUGGGGAAACCCACCUGCUUGCAGGUAUCGUUAACUGAAUACAUAGGUUAACGAGGCGAACGCGGAGAACUGAAACAUCUAAGUACCCGUAGGAAAAGAAAUCAA